GCCAGCACCCCGCCAGACUUUUUCUCUGCGGCCCUGCAAGGUGGCGGUGAGGGGCCCAAGGGAGUUCCUGGCUACUGCUACAGCUCGGUGCCCCGUUCCCACAAGGCGCCCCACCUGUGUGGCGCUGGGGACGGCGGCCAGUACGUGCUCAUGAGCUCCCCCGUGGGCCGCAUCCUGGAGGAGGAGAGACUGGAGUCCUCAGCUGCCCCUGUGGCUGCCGCAUUGAGCAGCGCCUUUGGGACUGGUGGGGACAGCCACAUGCAGCCUCAUCACCCAGCAGCAGUGCCUUCCCCCAUGAGGCCAGGGGGCAAUGGCGGUGGGCGUCCUGAGGGCUUCUUGGGCCAGCGCUGCCGGGCAGUGCGCCCCACACGACUGUCCCUAGAGGGGCUGCAGACGCUGCCCAGCAUGCACGAGUACCCCGUGCCCACGGAGCCCAAGAGCCCCGGCGAGUACAUCAACAUUGACUUCGGGGAAGCAGGUGGACAGUUGUCACCGCCAGCCCGACCGCUGCUGGCCUCUGCUGCUUCGUCCUCCUCGCUGCUGUCUGCCAGUAGCCCUGCAUCUUCGUUGGGUUCCGGUACGCCGGGCACCAGCAGUGAUAGUAGACAGCGCUCCCCGCUGUCUGACUACAUGAACCUGGGCUUCAGCUCCCCCAAGUCGCCCAAGCCAGGAGCCCACAGCGGGGACCCCGUGGGCUCCCUGGAUGCCCUCCAGUCCCCUGACGCCACGUCCCCAUACCCGCCGCUGCCCCCGCGCCCUUCGCCCUGUCUGACCUCUUCCCUACAGCAGGCCCCACCACCGCCUCCCCCCGGAGAGCUGUACCGCCUGCCCACCGCACCGAAUGCUGUAGUCACUUCCCAGGGCCCUGGCACUGCCCCAUCCUCUGACACUGGCGACAACAGUGAUUACACCGAGAUGGCCUUUGGUGUGGCAGCCACCCCGCCACAGCCGAUCGCUGCCCCUCCGAAGCCGGAGGGUGCCCGAGUGAGCAGCCCCACGUCAGGCCUGAAGCGACUGAGCCUCAUGGAUCAGGUGUCGGGCGUUGAGGCCUUCCUCCAGGCUGGCCAGCCCCCUGACCCCCACCGGGGCGCCAAGGUCAUCCGUGCAGACCCGCAGGGGGGCCGCCGCCGCCACAGCUCAGAGACUUUUUCCUCCACCACCACGGUCACCCCUGUGUCUCCAUCUUUUGCCCACAACCCCAAGCGUCACAACUCAGCCUCCGUGGAAAAUGUCUCUCUCAGGAAAAGCAGUGAGGGCAGUGGUGCUGGCAGCCUCGGUGGGGGUCUUGGGGCAGGUGAGGAGCCACUCAGGUCCCCGGGACACUCACAGCUGUCAGUCGCACCCCCGCCACCACAGUCACGGCCGUGGAGCACUGGUCAGCCUGGGGGCCUGGUCGGCUGUCCAGGGGGUGGCAGUUCCCCGAUGCGCAGAGAAACUUCCAUGGGGUUCCCGAAAGGCCUCAACUACAUUGCCAUCAGCGUGCGGGACGAAGCAGGGCUGUCCGCGCAGACGCAGCAUCUACAGCCAGGGGACAGGAGCUCCUGGGGCCGGGCCCGGAGCCUCGGGGGCCUGCUUAGCACUGUGGGAGGCAGUGGCACCAGUGGGGCAUGUGGGGGCCCGGGCCCUAGCGCCCUGCCCUCUGCCAACACCUAUGCCAGCAUCGACUUCCUGUCCCAUCGUCUGAAGGAGGCCACGGUCGUGAAAGAGUGACAAAGCUGGCAAGGUCUCGAGAGGCAGCUGGUGGUGAACUCCGUUGAGAUGCACCUCCCAUGUCCCCCGCCCAUGGCUGCCUGCAGUUUCCUGGCUCCUCAACCUCUGCCGCCUGCUGGACCACGCACAGGAGCCCAAAACCCCGACUGGACUCUGCCCGCCCGCUUGCCCACCCCUCCUCCUGUGCCCGAGCCGUGGCAGAGUUUUGUUUUGGUUUUUGUCCCCAAGUUGCUUGGGUUUCCUGUUCUCCAAGUGUCGGCCGGGGUUGUCGGUUCUAUCCGCCCCCCAUUCCCCGCCCUGUCCCGGUGGGGAAUCCUGGCAUUUGCUGACUUAGGCUCCAAGCCGAAGUCCUACCUCAGCUCAGGGGAGCCGGGGCGUGAGGUGGGGGCCGAGGCCAGGCGUGUGAGCCCUGGGACUGCCUGUGUCCAGUGGCCUCUGUGAUCCAGCCAUGGGUGGACACAUAGUCUCCACCCGUGACACUGGCUUUCAUAGAGCACAACGGGACUGUGACAGUGCCACAUGGGAGGCCUGGGGUGGACUUGGAAGAUAGAUUUGCAGAGAAUCCUCUGCCACUGUCGUCAUCACUGUCACCAUCCCUGUCCCCAUCAUCACGACCGCCUGCUCUUGUCUCCUCCAUCAUGUGGGUCAGGUGGAGGGCAGGCGUGAAGCUCUUUCCCUACGGGCUCUGCUGUCUGCACAAGACAGUCUUGUAGGGACUGCUGCACCCAAGGAUCGGCCUUUCUACCAAAAAUCCACAUGGGCAGCCAGUGACCAUAGCUGCUCUGGGUGUGGCGGAUUUUGUGUGUAAAAUACAGCACGAUCUUUAAACAUGGCAGCCUAAUGCAGGCCCCAGACUACCCUGACUGCAGAGAGGACACCAUCCAACUGUGCCGCUCGGGGCAGGAGCUGGCGGAGAGUGGCCUCACAGGACCGGUCACUCCUCAGAGGAGCCCUCAGCGAGGUCACCCUCAUCCUGCUUUCAGUGUUUGGGAAAUGCCAGCGUUGCGGUGAUGACCACAGCCGUCCUGGUCCCCAUGGCUCCCUGAACACGUGGCUGGACCCCUGCCCAGUGCCUGUCUCCCCAAUAGUCCUAUAGAGGCCACACUAAUUCUUGGAGAUGUGACUUGUUGGUUUGUUUUUUCUGUUGUUACUUUUUGUUUUGGAGGAAAAAAAAAAAAUAUAUAUAUAUAUAUAAAUAUACAGAUCUAUAUCAUAUAGGACAAUGCAUUACUAAACUGAGGCUUCGUAGAGGAAGACCAACAUUUUCAAUGUCUUAAAACUAUGUUUAAUGGCAAUGCACACGUCUUCCUGCUUCUGUGCUGAACUCUUUAGAACCGAGGAUUGUACUGCAAGACAGAGUUGAAUGUAAAGCAAGGUUUUGCUUUCCGGAGUGCUCAUCCCAGCUGCGUGUAGUCAGUUUGAAGGUCACUGCCUGCGAACAACAGGCUUUGUCAGGACGUACAGAGUGUCCCCGAAGUUUUCUUUAGGGAUGAGGAAUUGGUGGGUGGUAGUGCCCUGUGACCCCGGCACCUACGGCCGCCGCGAGCCCCCCAGCGGUUCAGCACGACCCCACCCCAGCCCACACGAUGGUCCGGGCCCCUCCUGCAGCCUAAAAUGAGCAGGGUUGAGAAGGUGAUGCUAUACUAAAAUUUUCCUCUAUCCUGUACAUUUCAAGAAAAAAAGGCAUAUGCAAUAUUACAUUUUUAAUUUAGUUUACAGAAUGGAACCAAAAUGUAUGUUAUGUUUGCAAAAAAAGAUAAUUCACAAUGUAUAUUGGAUCUUUGUACAUUUUGCCUGACUUACCUUAAAUUUAAACUAUUUUUUGCUAUAUAAACUUUAACCGUUAUGAACAGUGCUUCUUUGGGGUACGUGUUACUUCGGGUCUCAAGAUGUUAAAUAUGCUUCUCCCGCUCUUGUGUUAGGACAGCACCCUCCCAGCUGUCUCCCACACUGUACAUAGAGGUACGAGCCGCUGGAACCGUGCAUCGUGUUUAGUCUGUAUCGAUCAUGGAUGCCCUCCUCAAUAGCCAUAUGAAAUAAAUAAAGACAUUAUUUAUGAAAUGAACGA
Molecule: long non-coding RNA, 3778 nt
Organism: Cavia porcellus (domestic guinea pig)
Lineage: Eukaryota; Metazoa; Chordata; Mammalia; Rodentia; Caviidae
Source: Ensembl